RNAcentral lists this unclassified non-coding RNA (214 nucleotides) under Hevea brasiliensis (rubber tree). The record is from RNAcentral. Lineage: Eukaryota; Viridiplantae; Streptophyta; Magnoliopsida; Malpighiales; Euphorbiaceae.
AAAUCGGCAAACACUACGAAGUCCUGUGAUGUCCUCUCAGCAUAAGUGAGCGGCAAAACCAGAACCAAAUGUCUCCAUAUUACAUGAACAAAAAGCCUUGUGAAUUUUGCAUUAUCAUAUUGUUAGGAUGUUCCUCAAGCCCUGUCUGUGCAUCAAGGGUCAUGAGUCUAGUUAAGAUGACAUUGCAGCUUGUGAUUAACUACAGCUUUUACAA